Molecule: long non-coding RNA, 1410 nt
Filed under: Struthio camelus australis
Lineage: Eukaryota; Metazoa; Chordata; Aves; Struthioniformes; Struthionidae
Description: lncRNA (ENSSCUG00000001890.1)
Source: RNAcentral
CGCCAGGCCCCGGCCCGUGGGCUCCGAGCGACGUCGGGCUGCUCGCCCUGCCCGUUGCCCUCCUCGGGAGGUCCCCUGCACCCCGGGUGCCCCCUCGCCCUGGGGUGCCCCAUGCAGGAGGCCUGGAGGGGGAGAAGGAGGGUUUGCAGCCCCAUUGCUGCCGGGCUGAGUUGGGAUGCUUCCUGCACGGGGAGAAGGGGCACAGUGUGGGCUGGGGGUGCAGCGUGUCCCCUCUCUGCCUGCCCCCCCAGGAGACGCGGGCCUUCCUGCAGCAGCUGCAGGGCUUCUUCGAGACCUACGUUGCCUGGGCCAAGAGCAGCGUGAGUGAGGAGGGGAGGAGGGCUGGGGGGACAGGCUGGGGAGGCUCCGGGGGGGGGCGCGGGGGCCUGGUCCCCAGCUCACGAGAGAGGUGGCUCGUUGCAAGCCUGUGGCUCGGACCCUGGACAGCGUGGAGGCCAUGGCCUGCGACUACAUCCUGGACUCUUUGGUGAGGGGGGCACUUGCCCAUCUCCUCCGUGCAGGGUGCAGGGGGUGGCACCCAGGUCCCCUUGUCACCCUCGUGUGCAGGGCGAGGGGUACUGGGCAGGCAGGGCGCAGCGUUGCCUUGGCCCUGACGGCUCUACCUUAUGCCCAGAACACCUUCUGGUUCAGCCUGGGCUGGUGCACCUUCCUCCUGCUGCCUGGCCUCAUCCUCGCUGUGCGACUCGCCAAGUUUUACCGCCGGAUGGACAUCGCUGACGUCUACGAGAGCGAAGUCUUAGAGAUGGCACCUGCACUGAACUCGUUCCAAAUUCCCCGGGUGGCUGCAAGGAAGUAGCACCCACUGCCUGCAGCGUGGGCACGAAGGAGAUUGGGUGGCCCAGGCUGGCUGCAUGUGACUGCUCUGUCUGCUGCGCCGUCUCCCCUGGGUGCUGGGGAGCAGGCUGGGACCCCCCCAGCUGAAACCCCCUCCCCAUUUCCCGGUAGGUGACAGCGUGCUGUGGCUGGGUGACAGGCUGGUGGCCCGUGCUGGGGCUCCCACAGCAUCAUGUGGCGUGCGCAAGUGCAAUGCCCAGGUGCGUGCACGGCGGGGGUCUGCCCCUUGUGCUGCCCCAGGUGGGUUUUCACACCCCCUGUCACCGCCCUGGGGGGGGAGGAGGAAGAAGCCUCUCUCUCCCACCAUGUCUUGUCCUAGCCACACAGUGUCAUGUGUGCGGAUGUGCUGUGCUGGGACAGCAGCCCUCAUUGCCAGCUUCCCGCUGGGCCAUGCAGGCCCAGGGUGGCACGUGCCACCAGCCAACGGCAACCUGCUUACUCAGGCCCCUUGCUCUACAGGCAAUAUGACUAUUUAUUUUUGAACGGAGCAUGACUCUGUCCAAUGCUGUGAUUUUUUUGGUGUCAAAAAAUAAAUGAUGUGUGUGUGUGUGUGCA